AACGAACGCUGGCGGCAGGCCUAACACAUGCAAGUCGAACGCCCUAGCAAUAGGGAGUGGCAGACGGGUGAGUAACACGUGGGAACCUUCCCUGUAGUACGGAAUAGCCCAGGGAAACUUGGAGUAAUACCGUAUACGGCCCGAAAGGGGAAAGAUUUAUCGCUAUAGGAUGGGCCCGCGUAGGAUUAGCUAGUUGGUGAGGUAAUGGCUCACCAAGGCGACGAUCCUUAGCUGGUUUGAGAGAACGACCAGCCACACUGGGACUGAGACACGGCCCAGACUCCUACGGGGGGCAGGCAGUGGGGAAUAUUGGACAAUGGGCNCAAGCCUGAUCCAGCCAUGCCGCGUGAGUGAUGAAGGCCUUAGGGUUGU
Molecule: ribosomal RNA, 372 nt
Filed under: uncultured bacterium
Lineage: Bacteria
Description: bacterial SSU rRNA
Rfam family: Bacterial small subunit ribosomal RNA
Source: RNAcentral